AUUGAACGCUGGCGGUAGGCCUAACACAUGCAAGUCGAACGGCAGCACAGUAAGAGCUUGCUCUUACUGGUGGCGAGUGGCGGACGGGUGAGGAAUACAUCGGAAUCUACUUUUUCGUGGGGGAUAACGUAGGGAAACUUACGCUAAUACCGCAUACGACCUACGGGUGAAAGCAGGGGAUCUUCGGACCUUGCGCGAUUGAAUGAGCCGAUGUCGGAUUAGCUAGUUGGCGGGGUAAAGGCCCACCAAGGCGACGAUCCGUAGCUGGUCUGAGAGGAUGAUCAGCCACACUGGAACUGAGACACGGUCCAGACUCCUACGGGAGGCAGCAGUGGGGAAUAUUGGACAAUGGGCGCAAGCCUGAUCCAGCAAUACCGCGUGGGUGAAGAAGGCCUUCGGGUUGUAAAGCCCUUUUGUUGGGAAAGAAAAGCAGCAGGUUAAUACCCCGCUGUUCUGACGGUACCCAAAGAAUAAGCACCGGCUAACUUCGUG
This 492-nucleotide ribosomal RNA is filed under the name uncultured bacterium. RNAcentral describes it as "partial 16S ribosomal RNA". It matches the Rfam family "Bacterial small subunit ribosomal RNA", at positions 30 to 507 of the family's 1533-position model. The record is from RNAcentral.